CGUAAAUCUUGGGGAGGGGAGUAUGAUCUAAUCCUGUGCUCCUUGCCCUUAGAGAAGCGAAAUUUUUCUGACUUUUUCUUAAUUGACAGGUAGUACCUCCAAGAGAAGAAAUAGCCCAUCUCUCACACACAUCUCAUCACAUUACCUUGUUUGUUUUCAUGUUUAUGAUCUGCCUGUCCCUCCAAAACUGGCAUGAAAACUCCACAACAGAGGAAGUCCUAUCUAUAUUGUUCCGAGUGUGGCACAUAGUAGGUAUUUUUGUUGGACCAGUGAACCAAUGAAUGAAGUUCUACCGCUGAUAUGCAAAGAAGUACCUGGUCACAGAAUUAUCACCCUGAGCACCAGGACUUCAACCAAAAUGGAAUCCUACAUGGAAUUAUCCCUCAGAAGGCCCUGCUUGUCAACAUUGGCUACCUUAGCCUACCAAGACCAGUGGAGGGGCAAAUGUCCAGGAACAAUGGAGGACCAGCCCUCUACUUUGGAAACAAGGACUCCGAAAGAGCAGAAGAGGCUAAAAUCUCUGCAAGAACUUCUUUCACCUGCCCGGGAAGGCUUCCUGACGGCGUCUGGUUUCCCCGGCCCCGCAGCUGAGGCUGCUCCGUGCAGGCUCGCAGCUCCCAGCCCCAGCUGAGUGAGGCAUCCCAGCGCUGCAGCGGAGGUUACUCAGCACCUAGAGGCUCCCGUGGCCUUGCCAGCCAUGAUGUAAAGGUAUAUGCUGGGCUGCUGUCACUCUGACAGAUCACCCUACCAGCUCAAAGGAGAGGAAGGGAGAGGGAUAGAGAGGGUUAGAA
Long non-coding RNA from Myotis davidii, 791 nucleotides. RefSeq lists it as uncharacterized. The record is from RefSeq and is a predicted model, not a curated record. NCBI's taxonomy places the organism in Eukaryota, Metazoa, Chordata, Mammalia, Chiroptera, Vespertilionidae. The transcript has 3 exons.